Chrysemys picta bellii (western painted turtle) is the source of this 768-nucleotide non-coding RNA. The record is from RefSeq and is a predicted model, not a curated record. Lineage: Eukaryota; Metazoa; Chordata; Testudines; Emydidae.
AGGAGCUGCACCAGGAGUGGGGCUGUGGCUCCCUGUGCAGCGUGGAGUCUGACUGUUCGAUUCCACAAGGGAACCCCACAGGCCACUGCUUUGAGGGAGCUCUGGCCUUGCAUCUCAGGAGCCUCCAGUGGCAGGCAUCCCUGCUGUUGUUUUGUUAACAUUUGGCAUUAGGGCUGUGGCAUGUAGGUGCUUGGGGUGUGGACGGGUGAAUUAUCAUCAUGCACAGAGAGUUCUAUGGCAGGAUCACAGCUUGCAAGUAAAGGUGAGAUUGAAGGAAGUGGGAUUGGACUUUAACAACAACAGUAAUGACAACAGCUCCAGCCCAUCUCAACUAACUGCUUCUCUUUUCCCCAACAAGGAUCGUUAGUACCAUCUAAAGAUUCAAAAAGUGCCCCAGUUGGAGGUGGGGAGAGCAGAAUGGCCUGUUUGUUGGCAAAUCCUCAACCCCCAGCAACCUGACUACGUCUGCUCAGUGGUCACCUCACCGAGACAAGUUUCCUGCGACUACCUGCUUAUUGUGGGUGCCACCUACAUCACUGCCAGAAUCACUCUAUUUGGAUUCAGGGGAUGUAGAGCUGCUGGUGUUGCUGUCUUUGAAGAUCUCAAUUUGCUGCACCUCCACAGCCCCAGUCACCUGGAGGAAUUUCACUUGCUCGAUCGGGAUACGAUGAGAGUACUCAUAGAAGCGCUUGUUGUUCACAAUCACCUGGUGAGUAAAGGGGAGCGUUAGAAACAGUGAAUCUCGGCCAGGCCAUAGCACAACGUUUC